GAUGAGCGCUGGCGGCGUGCUUAACACAUGCAAGUCGAACGGAAAGGCCCAAGCUUUCUUGGGUACUCGAGUGCCGAACGGGUGAGUAACACGUGGGUGAACUGCCCUUCACUUCGUGAUAUGCCUGGGAAACUCGGUCUAAUACCGGAUAGGACCUCAUUUUGGAUGGUGUGGUGGAAAGUUUUUCGGUGUGGGUUGAGCUCGCGGCCUAUCAGCCUGUUGGUGGGGUAAUUGCCUACCAAGGCGCCGACGGGUAGCCGGCCUGAGAGGGUGUACGGCCACAUUGGAACUGAGAGACGGCCCAGACUACUACGGGAGGCAGCAGUGGGGAAUAUUGGACAAAGCGAGCCAGCCUGAUGCAGCGACGCCGCGGGGGGGAUGACGGCCUUCGUGUUGUAAACUCCUUUCGCUAGGGACGAAGCGUUUUUGUGACGGUACCUGGAGAAGAAGCACCGGCUAACUACGUG
Molecule: ribosomal RNA, 467 nt
Filed under: uncultured bacterium
Lineage: Bacteria
Description: partial 16S ribosomal RNA
Rfam family: Bacterial small subunit ribosomal RNA
Source: RNAcentral